This 2845-nucleotide long non-coding RNA is filed under the name Ananas comosus (pineapple). Its description in RNAcentral is "long non-coding RNA (ACOM_LNC008639)". Lineage: Eukaryota; Viridiplantae; Streptophyta; Magnoliopsida; Poales; Bromeliaceae. The record is from RNAcentral.
UCUCUCUCUCUCUCUCUCUCUCUCUCUCUCUCUCUCUCUCUCUCUCUCUAUAUAUAUAUAUAUAUAUAUAUAUAUAUACAUAUAUAUAUAGUAUUUGAAACUUCUAAAAAUGGAUGAUCCAUACCAUUAAACAUGAUCUAGAGUAUUUGAAACUUCUAGAAAAUAAAUUUCGUAAUUUUUCAAAAUUAUUAUAAAGUCCAUCAAUCGGGUAUAAAAUGAAUGGUUAAAAUCGAAUGACAUCCUAAAAAUGGAUGAUCGGAUCCUUCAAUUUAAGAUUGGAGUUAUUGAUCUUUAUUUAGGUAGUAAAUAGAAUUUUCUAUAAAAAAUUCAACCUAUUCCGAUUCUUUUUCACAGUUAAACUAGCAAAUAUCUCAUACCGGCCGUUAAAAAUUGUCGAUUUUGUAAGCUUUUGAUCGUAAGGUAAAUGAUAUCGAAAAAUUAUAAAAUUUGAUUUCUAAAAGUUUUAAAUGCUCUAAAUAAUGUUUAACGGUAUGGAUUGUCGAUUCGGAAGCUCUAUCAUUGAAAACAACUUAUGAGUACGAAGGCCAUCGUACUCAUAAGAGUGUAGUAGCCGGUGUCUAUAUAUAUAUGUGUGUGUGUGUGUGUGUAGAGCUACUAUGUUAUUAGAAGUAUAGAGAGUUUUAUGCUUCCGACUUUUUGACCCUUAGAUCAAAAAUUGUACGGUUGGGAUGAUUGUGGUCCCUCCUAGGAUUGAGUAGUACCCCUAGGGUUGAGUGGUCCCCACAGGUUAAUAGUAUUAAUACAAAAGUUAAAAAUGAUCAAAGGGGUUGAUCUAAGGGCCAAAAAGUCGAAAGUACCAGAUCCUCUAUACUUCCGAUAGCAUAGUAGCUCUACUAUAUAUAUAUAUAUUGUUGAAAAAUCUUUCCAAUCAUUUAUUAAAAUAUUCUUUAAAAACAAUUCGAAAGUUUAAUUUAAGUUUUAGAAAAAUACCGAUGAAGAAAUUAAAUAAUAAAUAUUGUAAAGAAAAGGAUUAGAAAAGGCCUGUGAAUCGAGGAGUGCAGAGCACUGUCUUAGAAGCAAAAUUGCUCCUCUACGUGUGGGGCUUCACGGCAAUUACUUCCAGCGAUACAACGACCACGUUCCACGCCGUCAGCAUGCUUUUAAGGUGGCGCAAAAUGAAUUCAACAAACUUCAGAUCCAGCAAAUAUGAGAAAGCUUGGUAAAAAUUGACGCGUAAGAUCAAUGGCGAGAAAAUAGAAAAAGGUGAGGUAUAGGUAGGGUUUUGCUCUUAGAUAUGCUCGGGUUCAGGUUGAACUCAUACAACUUUCUCCAAUAUAUAUAACCAAGGCAAAUAUCUUAUUUCAACGCAUCAAUUCCGGGUAAAACAAGAUAAACCUAAGAUUAUGCGGAAUAUGGAUGCGGAUACGCAUUAGGAUAAAAAUAAAACCGAAAAAACAAAAAUAAAAUAAAAGAAACCAAGUGCAUUGACCGCAUGCGCCACCGCCCAUCCGGCCCGGCUUGUGCUUGUGCCGUGCGUGCGUUUAGUCGAGAGCAUAACUCUCAUUUUUUUCCAAUCAACUAGCUUGAGAAUAGAGCAAUGUAUAAAUAACAACAACACACCUUUAGUUUCUAAUGUGGGACUAAACCUCAUAUGUGAAAAUCUUAGUUGGACUCUCAGGUAAGGCCCAUCAAGUAUUGGGCUGCCCAAGAGGCCUUAUAAGUUUUAAAUCACCAAAAAUCAAAUAAAAUCUAGGCUAAAUUAUAGAAAACCUCCUUGUCAAAACCCGAUUUUUCACUUUCCCUUUCUGUCAUUUAAAACCUACACUUUGCCCCCUUAAAAAAUAAAAAAUAUUCACUUUGGACCCUGCCGUUAGUGUUCCGUCUAUAUCCCAUUAUUAUAUAUUUUUUUUAUAUCGAAAAUACCCUUCUACAGAUAAAGAAGGGUUGGAGGAGGAGAGGAAGAAUGAGAGGGCAUUUUGGUCAUUUUAUUAAUACUAUUAACACCGUACCCUUCUGUAAACAUUUUUUAGGGCUUUUUUUGCAUUUAGCCCCCUGACAAAUUUUUAUUUCAAAAAUAGCCCUAUCAAAAUUUAAUUUGCAAAAAUGGCUCUGGGCCUGCCACGCAUGCGCCAUGUCAGCGCCACGCGGGCAGGGCGGGGGCCAGUGUAUUAAGUUGAACACGGUGAAUGGUUCACCGUGUUUUUUAUUUGUAUUCCUUUUUUUUUGCCUUUUUCAAAAAUCCGAACCUGAACUCGAAAAUCAAAUUAAAACCCAAACCCGACGGAUUUUAAAAAUUCAUACCCAUAUACAUAUCCGACUAAAAACUCGAAACCCAAACCUAAACCCAACAGGUUUUAAAAAUCUAUACCGUUGGAUGAAGAUCUAAGGAAUAAAAAUUAUUAAAUAUUUCAUAUAUUGUAUAAAUAAAUAAAAAUAAAUUAUGUAUAUAUAUAAUUUAUUCGGAUUUGGGUUCGAAUAAUAUUUCGGAUAUCUAUACCCAUUGACAUUUCUACUCCCUAUUCCUCUUUUCAAUAUUUAUAUUGCAAAAAAUACGUACUCUAAAUACAGUGAACCAUUCACCGUGUCUAAAAUACGGUGAAUGGUUCACCGUGUUUAACUUAACUAUCGCCCUCAGCCCUGCCCGCGUGGCGCUGACGUGGCGCUUGCGUGGCAGGGGUAGGGCCAUUUUUGCAAAUAUAAAUUUGCUGGGGUUAUUUUUAAAAAUAAUUUUUUUCAGGGGUCCAAUUGCAAAAAAAGCUCCAUUUUUUAUUUUCUAGGGGGGCAAAGUGUAGAUUUUAAAUGACAGAAGGAAAAGUGAAAAAUCGGAUUUUGAUAGGGUGAUUUAAACUUACCCAAUCAACUUGGUAGUGAAUUAAACCAUCAA